GAGGUUGGAGGAUUACUUGAGUCAAGGAGGUUGAGGCUGCAGUGAGCCAUGAUCAUACCACUGCACUCCAGCCUGAGUGACGGAGCAAGACCCUGUCUC
Molecule: microRNA precursor, 99 nt
Filed under: Aotus nancymaae (Ma's night monkey)
Lineage: Eukaryota; Metazoa; Chordata; Mammalia; Primates; Aotidae
Description: miRNA (ENSANAG00000000816.1)
Source: RNAcentral